GAUGAACGCUGGCGGCGUGCCUAAUACAUGCAAGUCGAGCGAACAGAUAAGGAGCUUGCUCCUUUGAAGUUAGCGGCGGACGGGUGAGUAACACGUGGGUAACCUACCUAUAAGACUGGGAUAACUUCGGGAAACCGGAGCUAAUACCGGAUAACAUUUAGAACCGCAUGGUUCUAAAGUGAAAGAUGGUUUUGCUAUCACUUAUAGAUGGACCCGCGCCGUAUUAGCUAGUUGGUAAGGUAACGGCUUACCAAGGCGACGAAACGUAGCCGACCUGAGGGGGUGAUCGGCCACACUGGAACUGGGACACGGUCCAGACUCCUACGGGAGGCAGCAGUAGGGAAUCUUCCGCAAUGGGCGAAAGCCUGACGGAGCAACGCCGCGUGAGUGAUGAAGGGUUUCGGCUCGUAAAACUCUGUUGUUAGGGAAGAACAAAUUUGUUAGUAACUGAACAAAUCUUGACGGUACCUAACCAGAAAGCCACGGCUAACUACGUGCCAGCCGCCGCGGUAA
RNAcentral lists this ribosomal RNA (513 nucleotides) under uncultured bacterium. RNAcentral describes it as "partial 16S ribosomal RNA". It matches the Rfam family "Bacterial small subunit ribosomal RNA", at positions 28 to 523 of the family's 1533-position model. The record is from RNAcentral.